This 253-nucleotide ribosomal RNA is filed under the name uncultured bacterium. RNAcentral describes it as "partial 16S ribosomal RNA". It matches the Rfam family "Bacterial small subunit ribosomal RNA", at positions 524 to 776 of the family's 1533-position model. The record is from RNAcentral.
UACGUAGGGUGCGAGCGUUGUCCGGAAUUAUUGGGCGUAAAGAGCUCGUAGGCGGUUUGUCGCGUCUAUCGUGAAAACUGGAGGCUUAACUUUCAGCGUGCGGUGGAUACGGGCAGACUUGAGUUCGGUAGGGGAGUCUGGAAUUCCUGGUGUAGCGGUGAAAUGCGCAGAUAUCAGGAGGAACACCGGUGGCGAAGGCGGGACUCUGGGCCGAUACUGACGCUGAGGAGCGAAAGCGUGGGGAGCGAACAGG